This 78-nucleotide microRNA precursor is filed under the name Schistosoma mattheei. RNAcentral's name for it is "mir-3492 microRNA precursor family". It matches the Rfam family "mir-3492 microRNA precursor family". The record is from Rfam by way of RNAcentral. Lineage: Eukaryota; Metazoa; Platyhelminthes; Trematoda; Strigeidida; Schistosomatidae.
AGCUUUCUGAAUCCGUGUUCAGAUUUUGUCACACACCAACCCAUUUGCGUUGAUCAGACUUCCAAGAUAAGUGAAGUU